AUGAAUCCUCCUUCCAUGAAUGAUCAGUGUAAGGCUCUAGCUCAGAAUAAUUUCUCACUUUUUUUUUAAUUAGAGUUUUUUUUGUAAGUUCCUUUGAAUAAGCUUCAAACUUCGCCAAGGUAGCAUAUAUGUCGUCUUGAAUGUCUAACUUCACCCCGCCUACAACAUAAAAAGAAGAAUAUCUUAGUAGUAAUGCAUUCGAUAAAAAAUUAUUAAACAAGAAUAAAACUAAAAAUAAAAAGAAUAGAAAAUAAAAUUUAAGAAGAAAC
RNAcentral lists this long non-coding RNA (269 nucleotides) under Lathyrus oleraceus (garden pea). RNAcentral describes it as "Pisum sativum (pea) long non-coding RNA (PSAT_LNC034544)". Lineage: Eukaryota; Viridiplantae; Streptophyta; Magnoliopsida; Fabales; Fabaceae. The record is from RNAcentral.